UACGGAGGAUUCGAGCGUUAUCCGGAAUCAUUGGGUUUAAAGGGUCCGUAGGCGGAUAGAUAAGUCAGAGGUGAAAGUUUGUGGCUCAACCAUAAAAUUGCCUUUGAUACUGUUUGUCUUGAAUAGGUGUGAAGUGGUUAGAAUGAGUAGUGUAGCGGUGAAAUGCAUAGAUAUUACUCGGAAUACCAAUUGCGAAGGCAGAUCACUAACACUUUAUUGACGCUGAGGGACGAAAGCGUGGGGAGCGAACAGG
This 253-nucleotide ribosomal RNA is filed under the name uncultured bacterium. RNAcentral's name for it is "partial 16S ribosomal RNA". It matches the Rfam family "Bacterial small subunit ribosomal RNA", at positions 524 to 776 of the family's 1533-position model. The record is from RNAcentral.